UGUGGGUUUUUUUUUAUGCCAAUUAUGAAAAUAGAAUUAGCAAUGCAGGACCCGGAACAACCAAGAGGCACAAGGGAGCCAUCCACUUCAUCGGUCAAAGGCAAGAGGCGGGGAAAGGAAUCAUUUUAGUUGGUCAACGACCUUACUACAGUGCUGGAUCGAUGAGCAUUUUUGAGCUCUAGCCACCAAGCGUACAUUGGUCAUCAACCAAAGAAUGCCUAGAGCUUGCAUGUGGAAGAAACAACCACGCCAUAAAGACAUCUCAUUUGAUAACAUCCAUUUGAUAGGGUGACUUGGCAACCAUAUGAGAAGUCACAUGAAAUUGCAGAGUACUUCAUAUGCUGCUCAUACCUCAUAAGUUUCAACAUUGCAGAGUACUAUAUACCCGAUAGCGUGCUGUGGAAAUUUGGGAAGGUAUAAGGGAUUCUUGUUAUGCCAACCAAGUGGGAUAGGAGAGAGAAGCUUGAUAUACACCCUACAAAUUGGACUGAAGAGUUGAGCAGGCAUAUAAAAGAUUGGAAGCAAUGAGAACGUAAUGUUGUCAAGGAAGCCCUGGAUAAAUUUUGUGGAGCACCUUAUAAGAGUACAUGGCUUGGCACAACAUGUUUAUGCAAAGAUUUAGAAAAGCCCUCAUGCGUCCCCGUCGUAGUCGCAAUCCUAUGUGAAAUCCUCCACAGGACAUGAUGACAAUAGGAGAUUGAGUCAGGUGCUGAGGAGAUAGCGCAUGCUAAGGGUGGAGAAGUGGAAAGUGAAAGUGAUGGGGACGAUAAUAGUGAAAGCGAAGGAGACGAUGAUGAUGGAGAAGAGGAUGAUGAUGAAGAAGAGGAUGUUGAAGGCCACAAUGAUGCUGAGAGCGAGGAUGAAAUUGAAAGAAGAACAAAAAAAAAAAACUGAUCACUUUCAAGCACCAGCGUUACAAGAGGAAUCGAGGUGGAAUUUACGGUUGCGAAGAGAUGGGAAUUGAUCAAAAAAAGGUUUGAGGUGGAGAA
Molecule: long non-coding RNA, 989 nt
Organism: Amborella trichopoda
Lineage: Eukaryota; Viridiplantae; Streptophyta; Magnoliopsida; Amborellales; Amborellaceae
Source: RefSeq, a predicted model, not a curated record